This is a long non-coding RNA of Mizuhopecten yessoensis (Yesso scallop), 1025 nucleotides long. RefSeq lists it as uncharacterized. The record is from RefSeq and is a predicted model, not a curated record. NCBI's taxonomy places the organism in Eukaryota, Metazoa, Mollusca, Bivalvia, Pectinida, Pectinidae. The transcript is spliced from 2 exons.
UGAUUGUUUUUAUUUGUAUUGUCAUUCAACGUACAUCAUAUAGCACGGACACAUGCUAUCUCUAUUUGAGCUUACAUAUAUUCAUAGUUAUCGCGGUGUUGGGGAAUAACGGAUUUAUCUAUCUUAUAAAGCACGUGUUAUAGCUCGACCAAUGAGAUUUCACUCGUAUUAUCAUUAUGGGAAGCAGCAUCGUUCAGGGGUUUUCCAAAAUUUCUUCUUAAAUAUCUGCAACAAAAGUCACAAAUUUCAUAUUACAUUGCCCUGACACCAGGUAACAUUCGAAAUAUCACACUUAUUACAGUAAAAGAGCCAAUAUAAAAGCGCAAUGAGUAAUCAAAUCAACAUUUAUAAUUUGAACGCUGCCAGUCACGACUUCGAGGGCGAAAUUCAUUUACAUCACAAAUGCGGUUCUGUACAGAAGAGAUACACAGUCAAAGGACAUAUCGUUUAUUUUCUUUUGCGGAAAUGUUGCUGCACGGCAUUCUACGAAGACGUGACUUAUAUGAUUCCUGAACAAAUUGGGCAAUUUCCAAGCAAUGGAGUGAAACUGACCACAGACCCAAACCUAAGAAUUCAGGGCGAAGAAUUUUGGAAUGGACGUAUGGGACAAAAACAAUACAAACUAAAAGUGAUUCAUGGGUAUACGCAAGCGAGUAGAUCAGCAAUGCCAUCACAUGCAUACUGAGAUUUCGUCGUUAUUCAAAAAAAAGAACAAAAUAAAUCAUCAUCGAUUUCCAUCUUCAUUGAACAUUUAUAAGAAAACGGCGAUACCUUGGGAGUGGAAGCUUUCUCGGUAUGACGACGGAAGCAACAAGACCUUUAUCCUGACCAAAGAACAAAUUUCAUCCUAGUGUGUUAUCAUCAGAAGGACAAAACAGCCCAGAAAAAUAAAAAAAAACUUUCUAACAUACCGUACAUGAUAUUUUAUUUGUGUUCAACACAUUUAAAGGUUACUGAGGGGAAGAAAAUACAAGAAUUUUAAUAUAUAUGAUGUGACUUUAUAUAAUAAAAGUUCAGAUCGCUUA